UAAGGUGCAUCUAGUGCAGAUAGUGAAAUAGACUAGCACCUACUGCCCUAAGUGCUCCUUCUGGC
This 65-nucleotide microRNA precursor is filed under the name Monopterus albus (swamp eel). Its description in RNAcentral is "Mal-Mir-17-P2a2b_pre stem-loop". It matches the Rfam family "mir-17 microRNA precursor family", at positions 11 to 80 of the family's 80-position model. From Rfam's summary of the family: This family represents the microRNA (miRNA) precursor mir-17, family, which includes mir-20, mir-91, and mir-103. miRNAs are transcribed as ~70nt precursors (modelled here) and subsequently processed by the Dicer enzyme to give a ~22nt product. The record is from RNAcentral. RNAcentral also lists the same sequence under 1 other name. Lineage: Eukaryota; Metazoa; Chordata; Actinopteri; Synbranchiformes; Synbranchidae.